UACGUAGGGGGCGAGCGUUAUCCAGAUUUACUGGGCGUAAAGCGCGCGCAGGCGGUCUUCCAAGUCAGUGGUGAAAGCCCGGAGCUCAACUCCGGAACUGCCAUUGAAACUGUGAGACUGGAGUACGAGAGAGGUGAGUGGAAUUCCCAGUGUAGAGGUGAAAUUCGUAGAUAUUGGGAAGAACACCGGUGGCGAAGGCGGCUCACUGGCUCGUAACUGACGCUCAGGCGCGACAGCGUGGGGAUCAAACAGG
Molecule: ribosomal RNA, 253 nt
Filed under: uncultured bacterium
Lineage: Bacteria
Description: partial 16S ribosomal RNA
Rfam family: Bacterial small subunit ribosomal RNA
Source: RNAcentral